UAUAGGGGUUGGAAGGCUAAAGUCGCGACGUCCUGUCGCAACGCCUUCAUGACCAACAUCGUGUUGG
This is a small RNA of Virgibacillus sp. SK37, 67 nucleotides long. It matches the Rfam family "Bacillaceae-1 RNA". The record is from Rfam. NCBI's taxonomy places the organism in Bacteria, Bacillati, Bacillota, Bacilli, Caryophanales, Bacillaceae.